This 74-nucleotide transfer RNA is filed under the name Paenibacillaceae bacterium ZCTH02-B3. RNAcentral's name for it is "tRNA-Cys". It matches the Rfam family "tRNA". Rfam says of the family: Transfer RNA (tRNA) molecules are approximately 80 nucleotides in length. Their secondary structure includes four short double-helical elements and three loops (D, anti-codon, and T loops). Lineage: Bacteria; Bacillati; Bacillota; Bacilli; Caryophanales; Paenibacillaceae. RNAcentral also lists the same sequence under 1 other name. The record is from RNAcentral.
GGCGCCAUAGCCAAGUGGUAAGGCAGGGCUCUGCAAAAGCCUUAUCCCCAGUUCGAAUCUGGGUGGCGCCUCCA